UAUUGGUGAUAUGGGCAGUCCCUGAGAAGAGAUUUGAACCUCUCCCAAGCAUGAUAUAAGUUCUCAUCCGACUUCUGCUUAAAACUCAAAAUUUCAUUGCAUAACUU
This is a small nucleolar RNA of Capsicum annuum, 107 nucleotides long. The record is from RefSeq and is a predicted model, not a curated record. NCBI's taxonomy places the organism in Eukaryota, Viridiplantae, Streptophyta, Magnoliopsida, Solanales, Solanaceae.